This 94-nucleotide signal recognition particle RNA is filed under the name Candidatus Dadabacteria bacterium. RNAcentral describes it as "signal recognition particle sRNA small type". It matches the Rfam family "Bacterial small signal recognition particle RNA". Rfam says of the family: The signal recognition particle (SRP) is a universally conserved ribonucleoprotein involved in the co-translational targeting of proteins to membranes. Archaeal SRP consists of a 7S RNA and homologues of the eukaryotic SRP19 and SRP54 proteins. In most bacteria, the SRP consists of a 4.5S RNA and the Ffh protein (a homologue of the eukaryotic SRP54 protein). The record is from RNAcentral. Lineage: Bacteria; Pseudomonadati; Thermodesulfobacteriota; Candidatus Dadabacteria.
ACGGCUGGUUUGCGCGAGAGUCUCCGUGAACCCGGUCAGGUCCGAGAGGAAGCAGCCGUAGCGGAAAGAUUCUGUGAUGCAAACCGGCCUUUGG